CCAGCAGCCGCGGUAAUUCCAGCUCCAAUAGCGUAUAUUAAAGUUGUUGCAGUUAAAAAGCUCGUAGUUGGAUUUCUGUUAAUAAUUUAUAUAAAAUAUUUUGAUGAAUAUUUAUAUAAUAUUAACAUAAUUCAUAUUACUAUAUAUUUUAGUAUAUGAAAUUUUACUUUGAGAAAAUUAGAGUGCUUAAAGCAGGCAUAUGCCUUGAAUACUCCAGCAUGGAAUAAUAUUAAAGAUUUUUAUCUUUCUUAUUGGUUCUAAGAUAAGAAUAAUGAUUAAUAGGGACAGUUGGGGGCAUUUGUAUUUAACAGUCAGAGGUGAAAUUCUUAGAUUUGUUAAAGACAAACUAAUGCGAAAGCAUUUGCCAAGGAUGUUUUCAUUAAUCAAGAACGAAAGUUAGGGGAUCGAAGACGAUCAGAUACCGUCGUAGUCUUAA
RNAcentral lists this ribosomal RNA (436 nucleotides) under Cryptosporidium parvum. Its description in RNAcentral is "SSU rRNA". It matches the Rfam family "Eukaryotic small subunit ribosomal RNA", at positions 567 to 1029 of the family's 1831-position model. Lineage: Eukaryota; Apicomplexa; Conoidasida; Eucoccidiorida; Cryptosporidiidae. The record is from RNAcentral.